GACGAACGCUGGCGGCGUGCUUAACACAUGCAAGUCGAACGGAAAGGCCCUGCUUUUGUGGGGUGCUCGAGUGGCGAACGGGUGAGUAACACGUGAGUAACCUGCCCUUGACUUUGGGAUAACUUCAGGAAACUGGGGCUAAUACCGGAUAGGAGCUCCUGCUGCAUGGUGGGGGUUGGAAAGUUUCGGCGGUUGGGGAUGGACUCGCGGCUUAUCAGCUUGUUGGUGGGGUAAUGGCUUACCAAGGCUUUGACGGGUAGCCGGCCUGAGAGGGUGACCGGCCACAUUGGGACUGAGAUACGGCCCAGACUCCUACGGGAGGCAGCAGUGGGGAAUAUUGCACAAUGGGCGGAAGCCUGAUGCAGCAACGCCGCGUGCGGGAUGACGGCCUUCGGGUUGUAAACCGUUUUCGCCUGUGACGAAGCGUGAGUGACGGUAAUGGGUAAAGAAGCACCGGCUAACUACGUG
This 468-nucleotide ribosomal RNA is filed under the name uncultured bacterium. RNAcentral's name for it is "partial 16S ribosomal RNA". It matches the Rfam family "Bacterial small subunit ribosomal RNA", at positions 28 to 507 of the family's 1533-position model. The record is from RNAcentral.